This is a regulatory RNA element of Daphnia magna, 45 nucleotides long. It matches the Rfam family "Histone 3' UTR stem-loop". From Rfam's summary of the family: The mRNAs of metazoan histone genes lack a poly-A tail. The record is from Rfam. NCBI's taxonomy places the organism in Eukaryota, Metazoa, Arthropoda, Branchiopoda, Diplostraca, Daphniidae.
CAACCGGCCCUUCUCAGGGCCAUCAAAAUUAAAAGAAACUGAACU